This 403-nucleotide ribosomal RNA is filed under the name bacterium. RNAcentral describes it as "partial 16S ribosomal RNA". It matches the Rfam family "Bacterial small subunit ribosomal RNA", at positions 355 to 776 of the family's 1533-position model. The record is from RNAcentral.
UGGGGAAUAUUGCACAAUGGGGGAAACCCUGAUGCAGCGACGCCGCGUGAACGAAGAAGGUAUUCGUAUCGUAAAGUUCUGUCCUAUGGGAAGAUAAUGACGGUACCAUAGAAGAAAGCUCCGGCUAAAUACGUGCCAGCAGCCGCGGUAAUACGUAUGGAGCGAGCGUUGUCCGGAAUUAUUGGGCAUAAAGGGUACGCAGGCGGUUUAAUAAGUCGAAUGUUAAAGAUCGGGGCUCAACCCCGCAAAGCAUUGGAAACUGAUAAACUUGAGUAGUGGAGAGGAAAGUGGAAUUCCUAGUGUAGUGGUGAAAUACGUAGAUAUUAGGAGGAAUACCAGUAGCGAAGGCGACUUUCUGGACACAAACUGACGCUGAGGUACGAAAGCGUGGGGAGCAAACAGG